Molecule: ribosomal RNA, 439 nt
Filed under: uncultured bacterium
Lineage: Bacteria
Description: partial 16S ribosomal RNA
Rfam family: Bacterial small subunit ribosomal RNA
Source: RNAcentral
CUACGGGCCGCUCCAGUGGGGAAUAUUGGACAAUGGGCGCAAGCCUGAUCCAGCAAUGCCGCGUGAGUGAAGACGGCCUUAGGGUCGUAAAACUCUUUCGCUAGGGAAGAUAAUGACUGUACCUAGUAAAGAAGUCCCGGCUAACUCCGUGCCAGCAGCCGCGGUAAUACGGAGGGGACUAGCGUUGUUCGGAAUUACUGGGCGUAAAGAGUUCGUAGGCGGACUGACAAGUUAGAGGUGAAAUCCCAGGGCUCAACCCUGGAACUGCCUUUAAAACUGUCAGUCUAGAGACCGGAAGAGGUUAGGGGAAUACCUAGUGUAGAGGUGAAAUUCGUAGAUAUUAGGUGGAACACCAGUGGCGAAGGCGCCUAACUGGUCCGGUACUGACGCUGAGGAACGAAAGCGUGGGGAGCAAACAGGAUUAGAUACCCUUGUAGUC